Molecule: ribosomal RNA, 757 nt
Filed under: Brevundimonas sp. GICR16
Lineage: Bacteria; Pseudomonadati; Pseudomonadota; Alphaproteobacteria; Caulobacterales; Caulobacteraceae
Description: bacterial SSU rRNA
Rfam family: Bacterial small subunit ribosomal RNA
Source: RNAcentral
CGAACGGACCCUUCGGGGUUAGUGGCGGACGGGUGAGUAACACGUGGGAACGUGCCUUUAGGUUCGGAAUAGCUCCUGGAAACGGGUGGUAAUGCCGAAUGUGCCCUUCGGGGGAAAGAUUUAUCGCCUUUAGAGCGGCCCGCGUCUGAUUAGCUAGUUGGUGAGGUAAAGGCUCACCAAGGCUACGAUCAGUAGCUGGUCUGAGAGGAUGACCAGCCACAUUGGGACUGAGACACGGCCCAAACUCCUACGGGAGGCAGCAGUGGGGAAUCUUGCGCAAUGGGCGAAAGCCUGACGCAGCCAUGCCGCGUGAAUGAUGAAGGUCUUAGGAUUGUAAAAUUCUUUCAGUAGGGACGAUAAUGACGGUACCUACAGAAGAAGCCCCGGCUAACUUCGUGCCAGCAGCCGCGGUAAUACGAAGGGGGCUAGCGUUGCUCGGAAUUACUGGGCGUAAAGGGAGCGUAGGCGGACAUUUAAGUCAGGGGUGAAAUCCCAGAGCUCAACUCUGGAACUGCCUUUGAUACUGGGUGUCUUGAGUGUGAUAGAGGUAUGUGGAACUCCGAGUGUAGAGGUGAAAUUCGUAGAUAUUCGGAAGAACACCAGUGGCGAAGGCGACAUACUGGAUCAUUACUGACGCUGAGGCUCGAAAGCGUGGGGAGCAAACAGGAUUAGAUACCCUGGUAGUCCACGCCGUAAACGAUGAUUGCUAGUUGUCGGGUUGUUUACACUCGGUGACGCAGCUAACGCAUUAGCAUCC